RNAcentral lists this ribosomal RNA (429 nucleotides) under Acidobacteriota bacterium. RNAcentral describes it as "Acidobacteria bacterium partial 16S ribosomal RNA". It matches the Rfam family "Bacterial small subunit ribosomal RNA", at positions 355 to 776 of the family's 1533-position model. Lineage: Bacteria; Pseudomonadati; Acidobacteriota. The record is from RNAcentral.
UGGGGAAUUUUGGACAAUGGGGGAAACCCUGAUCCAGCCAUCCCGCGUGUGCGAUGAAGGCCUUCGGGUUGUAAAGCACUUUUGGCAGGAAAGAAACGUCAUGGGUUAAUACCCCGUGAAACUGACGGUACCUGCAGAAUAAGCACCGGCUAACUACGUGCCAGCAGCCGCGGUAAUACGUAGGGUGCAAGCGUUAAUCGGAAUUACUGGGCGUAAAGCGUGCGCAGGCGGUUCGGAAAGAAAGAUGUGAAAUCCCAGAGCUCAACUUUGGAACUGCAUUAUUAACUACCGGGCUAGAGUGUGUCAGAGGGAGGUGGAAUUCCGCGUGUAGCAGUGAAAUGCGUAGAUAUGCGGAGGAACACCGAUGACGAAGGCAGCCUCCUGGGAUAACACUGACGCUCAUGCACGAAAGCGUGGGGAGCAAACAGG